UACGUAGGGUGCGAGCGUUGUCCGGAAUUACUGGGCGUAAAGAGCUCGUAGGUGGUUUGUCGCGUUGUCCGUGAAAACUCACAACUCAAUUGUGGGCGUGCGGGCGAUACGGGCAGACUGGAGUACUGCAGGGGAGACUGGAAUUUACGGUGUAGCGGUGAAAUGCGUAGAUAUCAGGAGGAACACCAAUGGCGAAGGCAGCUCGCUGGAACGGUACUGACGCUGAGGCGCGAAAGCGUGGGGAGCAAACAGG
RNAcentral lists this ribosomal RNA (253 nucleotides) under uncultured bacterium. RNAcentral's name for it is "partial 16S ribosomal RNA". It matches the Rfam family "Bacterial small subunit ribosomal RNA", at positions 524 to 776 of the family's 1533-position model. The record is from RNAcentral.